GCCACCCUCAUGAUGAUGUGUGAGUAGUUCACCACAGACCUACGAGUCCAUAGCCAGUACCUAGAUGGAAAUCGCUCUCUUUGAUAUUCAAUACCAUGAUCAUCGCAUCUUCGCUUUGAUCCAUAUGAUGUAAUUCCUUUUGUGCGGUGCGUUUGUUGGGAGCCGAUGAAUUGUGGGUUUAUGUUAUUCAUAUGAAAUAUUUG
Molecule: long non-coding RNA, 203 nt
Filed under: Hordeum vulgare
Lineage: Eukaryota; Viridiplantae; Streptophyta; Magnoliopsida; Poales; Poaceae
Description: long non-coding RNA (HVUL_LNC001456)
Source: RNAcentral